CGAUCCCGUCUGGCUCCACCA
This 21-nucleotide transfer RNA is filed under the name Bradyrhizobium sp. jwc91-2. Its description in RNAcentral is "partial tRNA-Ala". The record is from RNAcentral. Lineage: Bacteria; Pseudomonadati; Pseudomonadota; Alphaproteobacteria; Hyphomicrobiales; Nitrobacteraceae. RNAcentral also lists the same sequence under 7 other names.